This 512-nucleotide ribosomal RNA is filed under the name uncultured bacterium. RNAcentral describes it as "partial 16S ribosomal RNA". It matches the Rfam family "Bacterial small subunit ribosomal RNA", at positions 28 to 523 of the family's 1533-position model. The record is from RNAcentral.
GACGAACGCUGGCGGCGUGCUUAACACAUGCAAGUCGAACGGAGAUUCAGCAAUGGAUCUUAGUGGCGAACGGGUGAGUAACGCGUAGGCAAUCUGCCUUCUAGAUGGGGACAACAUCCCGAAAGGGGUGCUAAUACCGAAUGUUGUACCGUUUCCGCAUGGAGAUGAUACUAAAGGUGGCCUCUGAAUAUGCUACCGCUAGAAGAUGAGCCUGCGUCUGAUUAGCUAGUUGGAGGGGUAACGGCCCACCAAGGCAACGAUCAGUAGCCGGUCUGAGAGGAUGAACGGCCACACUGGGACUGAGACACGGCCCAGACUCCUACGGGAGGUAGCAGUGGGGAAUCUUCCGCAAUGGACGAAAGUCUGACGGAGCAACGCCGCGUGAGUGAAGAAGGUUUUCGGAUCGUAAAGCUCUUUCGUUAGGGACGAACGUGCUCUUUGUGAAUAAUGAGGAGUAAUGACGGCACCUGAAUAAGAAGCCACGGUUAACUACGUGCCAGCAGCCGCAGUAA